UGGUGGGUUGCCUUGUCAGGUUGAUUCCGGUAACGAACGAGACCUCAGCCUGCUAACUAGUCACGCCUUCUCCGGAAGGCGGCGGACUUCUUAGAGGGACUAUUGGCGAUUGGCCAAUGGAAGCAUGAGGCAAUAACA
This 138-nucleotide ribosomal RNA is filed under the name uncultured eukaryote. Its description in RNAcentral is "partial 18S ribosomal RNA". It matches the Rfam family "Eukaryotic small subunit ribosomal RNA", at positions 1299 to 1458 of the family's 1831-position model. The record is from RNAcentral.